AUUUAGAGACCGGCGCACGGGUGCGUAACGCGUAUGCAAUCUACCUUUCACAGAGGGAUAGCCCAGAGAAAUUUGGAUUAAUACCUCAUAGUAUACUGAGUUGGCAUCAACAUGGUAUUAAAGUCACAACGGUGAAAGAUGAGCAUGCGUCCCAUUAGCUAGUUGGUAAGGUAACGGCUUACCAAGGCUACGAUGGGUAGGGGUCCUGAGAGGGAGAUCCCCCACACUGGUACUGAGACACGGACCAGACUCCUACGGGAGGCAGCAGUGAGGAAUAUUGGACAAUGGGCGCAAGCCUGAUCCAGCCAUGCCGCGUGCAGGAUGACGGUCCUAUGGAUUGUAAACUGCUUUUGCACAGGAAGAAACACUGAUUCGUGAAUCAGCUUGACGGUACUGUGAGAAUAAGGAUCGGCUAACUCCGUGCCAGCAGCCGCGGUAAUACGGAGGAUCCAAGCGUUAUCCGGAAUCAUUGGGUUUAAAGGGUCCGUAGGCGGUCUAGUAAGUCAGUGGUGAAAGCCCAUCGCUCAACGGUGGAACGGCCAUUGAUACUGCUGGACUUGAAUUACUGGGAAGUAACUAGAAUAUGUAGUGUAGCGGUGAAAUGCUUAGAGAUUACAUGGAAUACCAAUUGCGAAGGCAGGUUACUACCAGUGGAUUGACGCUGAUGGACGAAAGCGUGGGUAGCGAACAGGAUUAGAUACCCUGGUAGUCCACGCCGUAAACGAUGGAUACUAGCUGUUGGAAGCAAUUUCAGUGGCUAAGCGAAAGUGAUAAGUAUCCCACCUGGGGAGUACGUUCGCAAGAAUGAAACUCAAAGGAAUUGACGGGGGCCCGCACAAGCGGUGGAGCAUGUGGUUUAAUUCGAUGAUACGCGAGGAACCUUACCAAGGCUUAAAUGUAGUUUGACCGUUUUGGAAACAGAACUUUCGCAAGACAAAUUACAAGGUGCUGCAUGGUUGUCGUCAGCUCGUGCCGUGAGGUGUCAGGUUAAGUCCUAUAACGAGCGCAACCC
Molecule: ribosomal RNA, 1012 nt
Filed under: Flavobacterium granuli
Lineage: Bacteria; Pseudomonadati; Bacteroidota; Flavobacteriia; Flavobacteriales; Flavobacteriaceae
Description: bacterial SSU rRNA
Rfam family: Bacterial small subunit ribosomal RNA
Source: RNAcentral